Molecule: long non-coding RNA, 228 nt
Organism: Neoarius graeffei (lesser salmon catfish)
Lineage: Eukaryota; Metazoa; Chordata; Actinopteri; Siluriformes; Ariidae
Exons: 3
Source: RefSeq, a predicted model, not a curated record
UACACAGCGCUAACUGCUGUCUGGCCAUCUCUCUGAUUCCCAAAACCAAGGGUUACAAAGACUUUUACUCACAGGUCCUGCAUGUUUGGAAUAAGCCUGAUUCUAAGCUCCAUGUGCAGCAUGUUGCCCAAGACCAGCUGGGUUUGGACCAGAUGAGCAUGUACUCCAGAUUGCUGAAGCUGCAUAAGGCACAUGGUUCAUCAGCAGCAAAUAGCAGAGCAACCCUGA